ACAUACUAAGAACUUUCCAGAGAUGGAUUGGUGCCUUCGGGAACUUAGAUACAGGUGCUGCAUGGCUGUCGUCAGCUCGUGUCGUGAGAUGUUGGGUUAAGUCCGCAACGAGCGCAACCCUUUUCCUAUUUGCCAGCGGGUAAUGCCGGGAACUUUAAGGAUACUGCCAGUGACAAACUGGAGGAAGGCGGGGACGACGUCAAGUCAUCAUGGCCCUUACGGCCAGGGCUACACACGUGCUACAAUGGUCGGUACAAAGGGUUGCUACCUCGCGAGAGGAUGCUAAUCUCAAAAAAGCCGAUCGUAGUCCGGAUCGCAGUCUGCAACUCGACUGCGUGAAGUCGGAAUCGCUAGUAAUCGCGGAUCAGAAUGCCGCGGUGAAUACGUUCCCGGGCCUUGUACACACCGCCCGUCACACCAUGGGAGUUUGUUGCACCAGAAGUAGGUAGUCUAACCGCAAGGAGGACGCUUACCACGGUGUGGCCGAUGACUGGGGUGAAGUCGUAACAAGGUAAGCGUAGAUGA
This 525-nucleotide ribosomal RNA is filed under the name uncultured bacterium. RNAcentral's name for it is "bacterial SSU rRNA". It matches the Rfam family "Bacterial small subunit ribosomal RNA", at positions 984 to 1509 of the family's 1533-position model. The record is from RNAcentral.